GGUGAUGUAGCUCAGCUGGUUAGAGCGAUCGACUCAUAAUCGAUAGGUCGUGUGUUCAAGUCACACCAUCACCA
This 74-nucleotide transfer RNA is filed under the name Anaerolineae bacterium. RNAcentral's name for it is "tRNA-Met". It matches the Rfam family "tRNA". From Rfam's summary of the family: Transfer RNA (tRNA) molecules are approximately 80 nucleotides in length. Lineage: Bacteria; Bacillati; Chloroflexota; Anaerolineae. The record is from RNAcentral.